ACGGAAGUCACAACCCUACACCGUUACUUACUUACUACACGGGGUUAGUCGUAAUACGGAUUAGAACGGGCCACCUGGUACCACUAGACAAGCCCGAAUCGUCGUAGUCUUCCUUUUUACGGCUCAAAGGCUAUAUUUUCCAUGCAACGACUGCCGAGCGACGAUCGGUCUUCUGGAUAUUGGGAUUUAUUCAAAUCCGGAUUCGACAGUUCCUCAGGUGAACAGCUGACGUGACUCACGGGUUCCCUCUUACUUAUAAAUAUAUCUAUAUUCAUCUACACCAAGAGUAGCAGCAGCAGCAGCAGCAGCAACAGCAGCAGCAGCAACUUUGCGUUGACUGAAAUCCACCUGGCUACUAAAUACAUCGGCUGCUGCAGCACCGCAGGAACCUGCAGUGCGGUAGCAGCAGCGAGUGCAUCGGUGGAAUCGAAUGAAGCACAUGCGGCAGUAAGCACAUCGGAACGUCGAUAUUUCAAAGAAUAUUAUCUAACCACCCCCGCAAAGCGGCGGAUACGAGAAUUAUGAAAAGUUCAACGAACGCCGAGUGCAAAAGAACGAAGGUCUCCGGUAUACGCUGUGAUUUUUUGGCCAAAAACGAACGAAACAAUUUUCGUCUUUCCGUAGGUUUUAAAAAUAUACACCCGGACGGAGUAAAUGUUUCGAGGUUUUGGUAGUUUCUUUUUUCAAUUCCCCCAAUUUUCUUUUUUUUUUCUCACCAAAACUCCCCCGCUUGAGGAAGAAACACGUGCGUCAUGUGCACUUAUGUAUGUAUAUAAUAUAUAUAUACGUGCACGUGAUUACUACGUAUACAGGAAAAAAAAAUCUUUUGCACCGCACGUGUCAAAUCGUCGGAAUAACAUUCUUGAGAGUAAUGAGAGAAAAAAAGGAAGGGAGGAAAUUGUUUCUCGAAAAACACGCCUCUGAGAUUAUUACCAGGAUUUAUUUGGUCUGCGACUCCUGCAAGGAAGCUCAACCCCUUAUAAUCCGGCUUUUCGACACCGGAAGUUUCGUGUUCCAGACACUUUUUUUUUUCUUUCUUUUUUUUUUCUUCUUCUUCAAACCAUCAGCUGAAUAUACACAAUGCUGCUACACCCUUUUCCGGACUGUAAGGGAUGAGCACGAUAUUGACCCAACCCGAUUACCAGAAGAGAUAAAAAAAAGUGUCUUAUACAAUCAAUUUUUAUUUAUAUAUACUUUUAUUCCCGAUAAAAAAAAAUUAAUAUUUCCAAUCGUAUUAGUGGGAAUCUCGAAUGAAAAAAAAAGUUUAGAUAACAAAAUAAAAAGUUUUACGGUAGUCAUCGUCUACUGUGCUUAAAACGUCCAGUGUUCUCUCGUACGUCCGCAUGUGAGCGACAAAAAGACGUAUGACGUAUGACGUAACAUUUCCCUCUCACGUGGUUUCAUUCGCGAAUGCUACAGAUACAUUCAUGCGCGUACCUACGUACGUACGUACGUACGUAGUAUUAUACGUACUUCAUAAUACCUUUCAAACCAGUGCAGAAUAAUAGCGUGUCCGUCGUCAGAAUGUCUGCAGGGU
This is a long non-coding RNA of Athalia rosae (coleseed sawfly), 1537 nucleotides long. RefSeq lists it as uncharacterized. The transcript is spliced from 4 exons. Lineage: Eukaryota; Metazoa; Arthropoda; Insecta; Hymenoptera; Athaliidae. The record is from RefSeq and is a predicted model, not a curated record.